AUCGCUUCUCGGCCUUUUGGCUAAGAUCAAGUGUAGAUGUCAAUUUUUUGGAGGUUAUUUUUGAAGGAAUGUGAGGUAACUAGUUUAUUUCAGAUUUAGUGAAGAAUAAUAUGUCAGUAAUCUCAA
Heterocephalus glaber (naked mole-rat) is the source of this 126-nucleotide small nuclear RNA. Its record names the gene U2. It matches the Rfam family "U2 spliceosomal RNA". From Rfam's summary of the family: U2 is a small nuclear RNA (snRNA) component of the spliceosome (involved in pre-mRNA splicing). Complementary binding between U2 snRNA (in an area lying towards the 5' end but 3' to hairpin I) and the branchpoint sequence (BPS) of the intron results the bulging out of an unpaired adenosine, on the BPS, which initiates a nucleophilic attack at the intronic 5' splice site, thus starting the first of two transesterification reactions that mediate splicing. NCBI's taxonomy places the organism in Eukaryota, Metazoa, Chordata, Mammalia, Rodentia, Bathyergidae. The record is from Ensembl.